UCCCUCUUAGCUCAAUUGGUAAAGAACCUGCCUGCAAUGCAGGAGAUGCAGGUUCAAUUCCUGGGUCAGGAA
Molecule: transfer RNA, 72 nt
Filed under: Bos taurus (domestic cattle)
Lineage: Eukaryota; Metazoa; Chordata; Mammalia; Artiodactyla; Bovidae
Also listed under: 2 other names
Rfam family: tRNA
About the family: Transfer RNA (tRNA) molecules are approximately 80 nucleotides in length. Their secondary structure includes four short double-helical elements and three loops (D, anti-codon, and T loops).
Source: Rfam by way of RNAcentral